AAUGGGCGAAAGCCUGACGGAGCAAGACCGCGUGCGGGAGGAAGGUCUAUUGACUGUAAACCGCUUUUGAUAGGGAAGAAGAUCUGACGGUACCUAUCGAAUCAGCAUCGGCUAACUCCGUGCCAGCAGCCGCGGUAAUACGGGGGAUGCAAGCGUUAUCCGGAAUUAUUGGGCGUAAAGCGUCCGUAGGUGGUUUUAUAAGUCUGUUGUCAAAUCGCGAGGCUUAACCUCGUACAGGCAGUGGAAACUAUAAGACUAGAGUGCGGUAGGGGUAGAGGGAAUUUCCAGUGUAGCGGUGAAAUGCGUAGAUAUUGGAAAGAACACCGGUGGCGAAGGCGCUCUACUGGGCCUGCACUGACACUGAGGGACGAAAGCUAGGGGAGCGAAAGGGAUUAGAUACCCC
RNAcentral lists this ribosomal RNA (403 nucleotides) under uncultured cyanobacterium. RNAcentral's name for it is "bacterial SSU rRNA". It matches the Rfam family "Bacterial small subunit ribosomal RNA", at positions 370 to 788 of the family's 1533-position model. Lineage: Bacteria; Bacillati; Cyanobacteriota. The record is from RNAcentral.